AGUACGGCCGCAAGGCUAAAACUCAAAGGAAUUGACGGGGGCCCGCACAAGCGGAGGAACAUGUGGUUUAAUUCGAUGAUACGCGAGGAACCUUACCUGGGCUUAAAUGUAGCGUGACCGUACCCGAAAGGGUAUUUCUCUUCGGAGCAGGUUACAAGGUGCUGCAUGGCUGUCGUUAGCUCGUGCCGUGAGGUGUCGGGUUAAGUCCCAUAACGAGCGCAACCCCUAUCGUUAGUUGCCAGCGGGUAAUGCCGGGAACUCUAGCGAGACUGCCACCGUAAGGUGAGAGGAAGGUGGGGAUGACGUCAAGUCAGCACGGCCCUUAUGUCCAGGGCUACACACGUGUUACAAUGGUCAGUACAAAGGGCAGCUACCUGGUGACAGGAUGCAAAUCUCUAAAACUGAUCCCAGUUCGGAUCGAAGUCUGCAACUCGACUUCGUGAAGUUGGAUUCGCUAGUAAUCGUAUAUCAGCAACGAUACGGUGAAUACGUUCCCGGGCCUUGUACACACCGCCCGUCAAGCCAUGGAAGCCGGGGGUACCUGAAGUUC
Molecule: ribosomal RNA, 550 nt
Filed under: uncultured bacterium
Lineage: Bacteria
Description: bacterial SSU rRNA
Rfam family: Bacterial small subunit ribosomal RNA
Source: RNAcentral